GACGAACGGUGCGAACGUUAUUCGGAAUCACUGGGCUUAAAGGGCGCGUAGGCGGGCUCGCAGGUCAGGGGUGAAAGCCCACGGCUCAACCGUGGAAGUGCCUUUGAUACCGUGAGUCUCGAGGGAGGUAGGGGCGUGCGGAACUUCCGGUGGAGCGGUGAAAUGCGUAGAUAUCGGAAGGAACAUCGGUGGCGAAAGCGGCGCGCUGGACCUCUUCUGACGCUGAGGCGCGAAAGCCAGGGGAGCAAACGGG
This 253-nucleotide ribosomal RNA is filed under the name uncultured bacterium. RNAcentral describes it as "partial 16S ribosomal RNA". It matches the Rfam family "Bacterial small subunit ribosomal RNA", at positions 524 to 776 of the family's 1533-position model. The record is from RNAcentral.